AUGAACGCUGGCGGCGUGCCUAAUACCUGCAAGUCGAGCGAACGGACGAGAAGCUUGCUUCUCUGAUGUUAGCGGCGGACGGGUGAGUAACACGUGGAUAACCUACCUAUAAGACUGGGAUAACUUCGGGAAACCGUAGCUAAUACCGGAUAAUAUUUUGAACCGCAUGGUUCAAAAGUGAAAGACGGUCUUGCUGUCACUUAUAGAUGGAUCCGCGCUGCAUUAGCUAGUUGGUAAGGUAACGGCUUACCAAGGCAACGAUGCAUAGCCGACCUGAGAGGGUGAUCGGCCACACUGGAACUGAGACACGGUCCAGACUCCUACGGGAGGCAGCAGUAGGGAAUCUUCCGCAAUGGGCGAAAGCCUGACGGAGCAACGCCGCGUGAGUGAUGAAGGUCUUCGGAUCGUAAAACUCUGUUAUUAGGGAAGAACAUAUGUGUAAGUACCUGUGCACAUCUUGACGGUACCUAAUCAGAAAGCCACGGCUAACUACGUG
RNAcentral lists this ribosomal RNA (496 nucleotides) under uncultured bacterium. Its description in RNAcentral is "partial 16S ribosomal RNA". It matches the Rfam family "Bacterial small subunit ribosomal RNA", at positions 29 to 507 of the family's 1533-position model. The record is from RNAcentral.